CUGUGUUGUAGUUUUUUAAGCAUUUGUCUAACAGGUUUUCCAGUUUUUACUAGAAACUCCCCC
Molecule: small nuclear RNA, 63 nt
Filed under: Aotus nancymaae (Ma's night monkey)
Lineage: Eukaryota; Metazoa; Chordata; Mammalia; Primates; Aotidae
Description: U7 small nuclear RNA (ENSANAG00000011116.1)
Rfam family: U7 small nuclear RNA
About the family: Animal histone pre-mRNAs are spliced by a different mechanism than nuclear pre-mRNAs and self-splicing introns. This processing involves the U7 snRNP, which contains only one RNA species: U7. The 5' end of U7 RNA is thought to base-pair to a conserved spacer element downstream of the cleavage site in histone pre-mRNA.
Source: Rfam by way of RNAcentral